CAGCCGCCGCGGUAAUACCAGCACCUCGAGUGGUCAGGACGUUUAUUGGGCCUAAAGCAUCCGUAGCCGGCUCUGCAAGUCUUCGGUCAAAUCCACCUGCUCAAAAGAUGGGCUGCUGGAGAUACUACAGAGCUAGGGAGUGGGAGAGGCAGACGGUAUUCAGUGGGUAGGGGUAAAAUCCUCUGAUCCAUUGAGGACCACCAGUGGCGAAGGCGGUCUGCCAGAACACGUUCGACGGUGAGGGAUGAAAGCUGGGGGAGCAAACCGGAUUAGAUACCCGGGUAGUCCCAGCUGUAAACGAUGCAAACUCGGUGAUGCAUUGGCUUAUGGCAAAUGCAGUGCCGCAGGGAAGCCGUUAAGUUUGCCGCCUGGGAAGUACGGACGCAAGUCUGAAACUUAAAGGAAUUGGCGGG
RNAcentral lists this ribosomal RNA (413 nucleotides) under uncultured microorganism. Its description in RNAcentral is "bacterial SSU rRNA". It matches the Rfam family "Archaeal small subunit ribosomal RNA", at positions 459 to 872 of the family's 1478-position model. The record is from RNAcentral.